Gallus gallus (chicken) is the source of this 554-nucleotide long non-coding RNA. NCBI's taxonomy places the organism in Eukaryota, Metazoa, Chordata, Aves, Galliformes, Phasianidae. The record is from Ensembl.
AUAUCCUCAUGUACCUGAGGUCUUUUGAAGGGACGCACUGGCAUUACUUACUUUGAGGCAAACUGUACCUGGAUGUUUGCAGAGGACUGAUGGGAGCUGCUGUGUGGCCUUCAGGGAGAUGCAGACAUCCUUUGAGCACACUUGUAUCUUCACAGCACAUCCUGGGGUUUAACCCACGCCAGUGGGACUCAAGAAGGAGGACCAUACACCUAUCCAUGCCAUCAGCCCCUCAGCUGCAUAGGCUCCUGUCCCAGCUGGGCAUCAGGUGCACGUGAUGGACAACGUGGUGUCAGCAGAGGUUCGUAGAUCUGACCAUGCUGUGUGAGGCACAGCUCUGUGCUCUCUGCCACAAGUGCUGCAUUGUUUGAGCCGAGGAAACAAAGGAAUGUGCUCGUGUGCUGUUCACACUCUGCUGGACCCUCGAACCAUAAGAACAACGCAUGGCCGGAUCCCUGUGUUCAGAUGCCCAGUUGAACUGAGAGGUAUUUCACUUAUGAGGACAAACGUUGGACGUAGAGAUAUGUGGACCGGAACCAGGCAGCGCCAAAUCCCUG